GCAGAGCACUCCUACGGGAGGCAGCAGUGGGGAAUCUUGGACAAUGGGGGCAACCCUGAUCCAGCCAUGCCGCGUGAGUGAAGAAGGCCUUAGGGUCGUAAAGCUCUUUCGCCUGUGAAGAUAAUGACGGUAGCAGGUAAAGAAACCCCCGGCUAACUCCGUGCCAGCAGCCGCGGUAAUACGGAGGGGGUUAGCGUUGUUCGGAAUUACUGGGCGUAAAGCGCGCGUAGGCGGACCAGAAAGUUGGGGUGAAAUCCCCGGGGCUCAACCCCGGAACUGCCUCCAAAACUCCUGGUCUUGAGUUCGAGAGAGGUGAGUGGAAUUCCGAGUGUAGAGGUGAAAUUCGUAGAUAUUCGGAGGAACACCAGUGGCGAAGGCGGCUCACUGGCUCGAUACUGACGCUGAGGUGCGAAAGUGUGGGGAGCAAACAGGAUUAGAUACCCUGGUAG
RNAcentral lists this ribosomal RNA (449 nucleotides) under uncultured bacterium. RNAcentral describes it as "bacterial SSU rRNA". It matches the Rfam family "Bacterial small subunit ribosomal RNA", at positions 328 to 793 of the family's 1533-position model. The record is from RNAcentral.